UGCUGCUGGUUCUCUAGGGAACAUUGUGCACACUUGUCAUCUUUAUAUCUCCACCUGUGCACCUUUUGUAGACCUGGAUAUCUCUCUGAGUGCUGGUCACUCAGGUUUGANRAUUGACUUUAUGUCUCUCUUCACAUUUCCAGGCCUAUGUUCUUUAUAUACCCCAAUGUAUGUUAUAGAAUGUAAUCAAUGGCCUUUGUGCCUAUAAACCUAUACAACUUUCAGCAACGGAUCUCUUGGCUCUCGCAUCGAUGAAGAACGCAGCGAAAUGCGAUAAGUAAUGUGAAUUGCAGAAUUCAGUGAAUCAUCGAAUCUUUGAACGCACCUUGCGCUCCUUGGUAUUCCGAGGAGCAUGCCUGUUUGAGUGUCAUUAAUAUAUCAACUUCUUCAGCUUUUGCUUGUUGAGUGUUGGAUGUGGGGGCCUUUUUUGCUGGUCUUUCUAAGGUCAGCUCCCCUGAAAUGCAUUAGCGGAACAAUUUGUGGACCGUUCAUUGGUGUGAUAACUAUCUACGCUAUUGACGUGAAGCAGUUCAGCUUCUAACAGUCCAUUGACUUGGACAAAUUUUCAUUAAUGUGACCUCAAAUCAGGUAGGACUACCCGCUGAACUUAAGCAUA
RNAcentral lists this ribosomal RNA (616 nucleotides) under Phlegmacium argutum. Its description in RNAcentral is "eukaryotic LSU rRNA". The stretch from base 217 to 370 matches the Rfam family "5.8S ribosomal RNA". Lineage: Eukaryota; Fungi; Basidiomycota; Agaricomycetes; Agaricales; Cortinariaceae. The record is from RNAcentral.